RNAcentral lists this ribosomal RNA (715 nucleotides) under Enterobacter sp. CD08. RNAcentral describes it as "bacterial SSU rRNA". It matches the Rfam family "Bacterial small subunit ribosomal RNA", at positions 10 to 734 of the family's 1533-position model. Lineage: Bacteria; Pseudomonadati; Pseudomonadota; Gammaproteobacteria; Enterobacterales; Enterobacteriaceae. The record is from RNAcentral.
AGUUUGAUCAUGGCUCAGAUUGAACGCUGGCGGCAGGCCUAACACAUGCAAGUCGAACGGUAACAGGAAGCAGCUUGCUGCUUCGCUGACGAGUGGCGGACGGGUGAGUAAUGUCUGGGAAACUGCCUGAUGGAGGGGGAUAACUACUGGAAACGGUAGCUAAUACCGCAUAACGUCGCAAGACCAAAGAGGGGGACCUUCGGGCCUCUUGCCAUCGGAUGUGCCCAGAUGGGAUUAGCUAGUAGGUGGGGUAACGGCUCACCUAGGCGACGAUCCCUAGCUGGUCUGAGAGGAUGACCAGCCACACUGGAACUGAGACACGGUCCAGACUCCUACGGGAGGCAGCAGUGGGGAAUAUUGCACAAUGGGCGCAAGCCUGAUGCAGCCAUGCCGCGUGUAUGAAGAAGGCCCUCGGGUUGUAAAGUACUUUCAGCGGGGAGGAAGGUGUUGAGGUUAAUAACCUCAGCAAUUGACGUUACCCGCAGAAGAAAGCACCGGCUAACUCCGUGCCAGCAGCCGCGGUAAUACGGAGGGUGCAAGCGUUAUCGGAAUUACUGGGCGUAAAGCGCACGCAGGCGGUCUGUCAAGUCGGAUGUGAAUCCCCGGGCUCAACUGGAACUGCAUUCAAACUGGCAGGCUAGAUUUGUAAGGGGGUAAAUUCCNGUGUAGCGGUGAAUGCGUAAAAUCUGGAGAUACGGNGCAAGGGGCCCUGACA